GAAAAGCCAGCUAAUACCGGAUGAGACCACGGCCCCCUCGGGGGCUGCGGCCAAAGAUGGCCUCUUCUUGAAAGCUAUCGCCUGAGGAUGGGCCUGCGGACCAUUAGCUUGUUGGUGAGGUAACGGCUCACCAAGGCUGCGAUGGAUAGCUGGUCUGAGAGGAUGAUCAGCCACACUGGGACUGAGACACGGCCCAGACUCCUACGGGAGGCAGCAGUGGGGAAUAUUGCGCAAUGGGGGAAACCCUGACGCAGCGACGCCGCGUGAGUGAUGAAGGCCUUCGGGUCGUAAAGCUCUGUCGUAAGGGAAGAACUGGUUAUGGGUUAAUACCUCAUAGCCUUGACGGUACCUUACAAGAAAGCACCGGCUAACUCCGUGCCAGCAGCCGCGGUAAUACGGAGGGUGCAAGCGUUGUUCGGAAUCACUGGGCGUAAAGAGCGUGUAGGCGGCUGGCUAAGUCUGGUGUGAAAGCCCGGGGCUCACCCCCGGAAGUGCGCUGGAAACUAGUCAGCUAGAGUAUGGGAGAGGGAAGUGGAAUUCCUGGUGUAGCGGUGAAUGCGUA
This 562-nucleotide ribosomal RNA is filed under the name uncultured bacterium. RNAcentral's name for it is "bacterial SSU rRNA". It matches the Rfam family "Bacterial small subunit ribosomal RNA", at positions 153 to 692 of the family's 1533-position model. The record is from RNAcentral.